CCUACGGGGGGCUGCAGUGAGGAAUAUUGGUCAAUGGACGGAAGUCUGAACCAGCCAUGCCGCGUGCAGGAAGACGGCUCUAUGAGUUGUAAACUGCUUUUGUACAAGGGUAAACCUGAAUACGUGUAUUCAGCUGAAAGUACUGUACGAAUAAGGAUCGGCUAACUCCGUGCCAGCAGCCGCGGUAAUACGGAGGAUCCAAGCGUUAUCGGGAUUUAUUGGGUUUAAAGGGUGCGUAGGCGGAUUGAUAAGUUAGAGGUGAAAUGUCCGAGCUUAACUCGGGAACUGCCGCUACUACUGUUGAUCUAGAGAGUAGAUGCGGUAGGCGGAAUGUAUGGUGUAGCGGGGAAAUGCUUAGAGAUCAUACAGAACACCGAUUGCGAAGGCAGCUUACCAAUCUAUAUCUGACGUUGAGGCACGAAAGCGUGGGGAGCAAACAGGAUUAGAUACCCUUGUAGUC
RNAcentral lists this ribosomal RNA (460 nucleotides) under uncultured bacterium. RNAcentral describes it as "partial 16S ribosomal RNA". It matches the Rfam family "Bacterial small subunit ribosomal RNA", at positions 338 to 795 of the family's 1533-position model. The record is from RNAcentral.